ACGAGAGGACCGGAGUGGACGUACCUCUGGUGUUCCGGUUGUCACGCCAGUGGCAUUGCCGGGUAGCUAUGUACGGAAGGGAUAACCGCUGAAAGCAUCUAAGCGGGAAGCCCACCCCAAGAUUAGGUUUCCCGGAUCUUCGGAUCCCUGAAGGGCCCUUGAAGACUACAAGGUUGAUAGGCUGGGUGUGGAAGCGCGGCAACGCGUGAAGCUAACCAGUACUAAUUGCCCGUGCGGCUUAAACCG
Molecule: ribosomal RNA, 246 nt
Filed under: Gammaproteobacteria bacterium
Lineage: Bacteria; Pseudomonadati; Pseudomonadota; Gammaproteobacteria
Description: partial 23S ribosomal RNA
Rfam family: Bacterial large subunit ribosomal RNA
Source: RNAcentral